UACGUAGGUGGCCAGCGUUGUCCGGAUUCAUUGGGCGUAAAGCGCGUGUAGGCGGCCAGGUAGGUCCGAUGUGAAAUCUGGAGGCUCAACCUCCAGCGGUCAUUGGAAACCAUCUGGCUAGAGUCCGGAAGAGGAGAGUGGAAUUCCUGGUGUAGCGGUGAAAUGCGCAGAUAUCAGGAAGAACACCAAUGGCGAAGGCAGCUCUCUGGGACGGUACUGACGCUGAGACGCGAAAGCGUGGGGAGCGAACAGG
This 253-nucleotide ribosomal RNA is filed under the name uncultured bacterium. RNAcentral describes it as "partial 16S ribosomal RNA". It matches the Rfam family "Bacterial small subunit ribosomal RNA", at positions 524 to 776 of the family's 1533-position model. The record is from RNAcentral.